RNAcentral lists this transfer RNA (76 nucleotides) under Armatimonadota bacterium. Its description in RNAcentral is "Armatimonadetes bacterium (activated sludge metagenome) tRNA-Ala". It matches the Rfam family "tRNA". From Rfam's summary of the family: Transfer RNA (tRNA) molecules are approximately 80 nucleotides in length. Their secondary structure includes four short double-helical elements and three loops (D, anti-codon, and T loops). RNAcentral also lists the same sequence under 4 other names. Lineage: Bacteria; Bacillati; Armatimonadota. The record is from RNAcentral.
GGGGAUUUAGCUCAGUUGGGAGAGCGCUUCCAUGGCAUGGAAGAGGUCACGGGUUCGAAUCCCGUAAUCUCCACCA